UUUGAAAUCUGGCCUUCGGGUCCGAGUUGUAAUUUGUAGAGGAUGCUUUUGGUGCGGUACCUUCCGAGUUCCUUGGAACAGGACGCCUUAGAGGGUGAGAGCCCCGUACGGUUGGAUACCAAGCCUCUGUAAAGCUCCUUCGACGAGUCGAGUAGUUUGGGAAUGCUGCUCUAAAUGGGAGGUAAAUUUCUUCUAAAGCUAAAUACCGGCCAGAGACCGAUAGCGCACAAGUAGAGUGAUCGAAAGAUGAAAAGUACUUUGAAAAGAGGGUUAAAUAGCACGUGAAAUUGUUGAAAGGGAAGCGUUUAUGACCAGACCUUUGCCUGGCGGAUCAUCCGGUGUUCUUCACCGGUGCACUUCGCCUGGCUUAGGCCAGCAUCGAUUUUUGUUAGGGGACAAAGACCGCGGGAACGUGGCUCCCUCCGGGGAGUGUUAUAGCCCGCGGUGUAAUACCCUUACGGGGAUCGAGGUUCGCGCUCUGCAAGGAUGCUGGCAUAAUGGUCAUCAACGACCCGUCUUGAAACACGGACCAAGGAGUCGAACAUUUAUGCGAGUGUUUGGGUGUUAAACCCUCACGCGUAAUGAAAGUGAACGGAGGUGAGAGCCCUUUCGGGUGCAUCAUCGACCGAUCCUGAUGUCUUCGGAUGGAUUUGA
RNAcentral lists this ribosomal RNA (654 nucleotides) under Monosporascus cannonballus. Its description in RNAcentral is "partial large subunit ribosomal RNA". It matches the Rfam family "Eukaryotic large subunit ribosomal RNA", at positions 114 to 793 of the family's 3401-position model. Lineage: Eukaryota; Fungi; Ascomycota; Sordariomycetes; Xylariales. The record is from RNAcentral.